This is a long non-coding RNA of Triticum aestivum (bread wheat), 1582 nucleotides long. RefSeq lists it as uncharacterized. The record is from RefSeq and is a predicted model, not a curated record. NCBI's taxonomy places the organism in Eukaryota, Viridiplantae, Streptophyta, Magnoliopsida, Poales, Poaceae. The transcript is spliced from 2 exons.
AGCCCUCCCCCAAUUACUACACCACCCACUCCCACCCUACCCCGCCGACGCAUGGGCCCGUUCCGCUCGGAGGACCACACGGCAGCGACUCCGCGCGAGCACAUGGCCGGUCGCGCCCGUUCCCUCGCCCGCUCCCCCCGCGGUUAUUUCUACCGGGCCGAGCCGCGCUUGGAGAGGGCAGAGUCGAGCCAGUAGAGAGACGGACUAGACUAGACCAGAUCUCGUAGCGGGGUCUCCGGCCGCCUCCCCCUCCCGGGGCCAGCACGCCCUGCCGUCCGCCGGCGGCCUGCUCGGUCGUCGGUGAGUCCGUGCAGCGGCCCGAAGAGGCGCGUGCUCGCUCCAAGGGCGAAGGGGGACGCGCCGGAUCUCGCGGGGCAAGUGCGCCAGCGACCUGAGGUACCUUGGUAUGGAAUGAAGUGAAGAGCGCAGAGUAUCUUGGUCUUACUAAUCAAUGCAUCAUAUUAUGUGCGCAAUAAGAUUUUGCUAUGCUUUCACCGUCGAUGCCCACUGGUUGGAUCAUGCUUCUGUUUAUGAGCUCAUUGAAGUAACUCUCUCGUAGCUCAAAUGGGCCAAUUCCUCAUUUGCGUGGCACACAAAACCUUCAGCUAUCCAUCUCCAUAUCAGUUGGUCUCUCUUAAUUUUGUAAUCUUCUGGAAAUAUGCUUAAGUAUAAUAAAUGAUGUGAAGGUAGAUCAUAGAACAUCAACACAAUUCUUAAUCUAAAACAAGAUGGUGUAGCCUAGUUUUUGUGAUUUAACACAAAUAGGAGGGCACCCAUGCACCAAUACCAUGAAAAGCAGCAAAGAAAAUGAGUAAAAGAGGCACCUGACUUGUAGAUUAUACAAGAGUGAUGAUCUGGAAGUCAACCCUCUUUUACCAGUAGUUUGAUCUACCUUCUCAUCUAUAGGAUUAGUUAUUAUGUCUAAGCAUGUUUUUAGAAGAUUAGAAGAUUAAGCAAGCUCAUUCGAUAUGUAAGGUGGAUAGUUUGAGGUUUUGUUUAUCAUGAAAAACAAGGGAUUAGCAAGUUUGAGCUCGGUGGUAGAAUUGCUCAAUGAGAUCGUGAAUAGGAGCAUGAUUCAACCAAUUGACAUCAAUGUUGAUAAAGGCAUGGAAAAAUCUUAUCGUAUACAUGAUAUGGUGAUUGAUUUCAUAUGCUGAAGAAAAACACUUCUGUGGCAUGGAGUGAAAGCGGUCUAUCCAAAGGCAAGAUGUGAAGAUUAUCCAUCUGAAAGAGCAUGACAGGUAGCAGCGAUGUGACAAUGAGGUCUCUUGCAAUUGUUGAUUCAGUGUAGCUUAUGUUGAAUUUUCCAAGUUCUACAUGCGCUGGAUUAGAAUAUUGUGCUGCAUGUCUCUAUUCUUUGCAAUCACAAUGAUUCACAAAUAUUGUGUUUGCCUUCUUGUUCUGAUUCGUCUUCUUCAAUGACAUGAAUCACCCAUUGUAUUUGUACCCAUUGAUGCUGAAUUAUAGUCGUGAAUCUCUGGUGUAUUUGUACCCACUUAUUUUUUUUUGUAAGUAUUUGUACCCACUUAUGCUGAAUUAUAUUGUCACUUAGGCAAGAAGCAUCUAAGUUUCUGUGUGGCUC